Molecule: ribosomal RNA, 440 nt
Filed under: uncultured bacterium
Lineage: Bacteria
Description: partial 16S ribosomal RNA
Rfam family: Bacterial small subunit ribosomal RNA
Source: RNAcentral
CCUACGGGAGGCAGCAGUGGGGAAUAUUGCACAAUGGGGGAAACCCUGAUGCAGCGACGCCGCGUGAGUGAAGAAGUAAUUCGUUAUGUAAAGCUCUAUCAGCAGGGAAGAAAAUGACGGUACCUGAGUAAGAAGUCCCGGCUAACUACGUGCCAGCAGCCGCGGUAAUACGUAGGGGGCAAGCGUUAUCCGGAUUUACUGGGUGUAAAGGGAGCGUAGACGGCAGUGCAAGUCUGGAGUGAAAGGCGGGGGCUCAACCCCCGGACUGCUCUGGAAACUGUACGGCUGGAGUGCAGGAGAGGUAAGUGGAAUUCCUAGUGUAGCGGUGAAAUGCGUAGAUAUUAGGAGGAACACCAGUGGCGAAGGCGGCUUACUGGACUGUAACUGACGCUGAGGAGCGAAAGCGUGGGUAGCAAACAGGAUUAGAUACCCUAGUAGUC